This 69-nucleotide transfer RNA is filed under the name Ictidomys tridecemlineatus (thirteen-lined ground squirrel). RNAcentral describes it as "Spermophilus tridecemlineatus (thirteen-lined ground squirrel) tRNA". It matches the Rfam family "tRNA". Rfam says of the family: Transfer RNA (tRNA) molecules are approximately 80 nucleotides in length. Their secondary structure includes four short double-helical elements and three loops (D, anti-codon, and T loops). Lineage: Eukaryota; Metazoa; Chordata; Mammalia; Rodentia; Sciuridae. The record is from Rfam by way of RNAcentral.
GGAGUUGUAGCUUAGUGGUAGAGUGCAUGCCUAGCACAUAUGAAACACUGGGUUCGAAUCUCAGCACCA